GGUGGCAAAUACAAAUCCGGGCGGCCGGAGGGCGGCCGCCGAUGGGUCCCAGGACGUCCCGCCGUGGAAGAAGUGACGGAGAGAAGGGACCGAGUGCCUCAUGUGGGGAUCAGAGACGGCCCCUUCCGCUAGGUUACAAAGGAGGAGAAUUAGGCCGCUGUUUGGGCCCUGACUGACUGAGACGGAUGUCACUUCUGCUUCGGCCAGAGCCCCCCUCCCAGAGCCACUUAUGUACCUAGACGUUUGGGGGCGAGGUGAAAGAGGCGGCCCUGAGUCCCCAACCUGGAUCGCCCGGUGGGCGCUGCCUCCGGCUGAGAAGAGGGCCGCUCCAACAGCCCGAGGCCUUCCCUUGGCCCCUGCCCGGAGCUGAGUCUGCGGCCCCGGGGCAGCUGCCCGCGGCGCCCCCGCGGGAGACGCGCCCCUCGGACCCCAGGCUGCAGGCGCGGGCCUCCUCGCCGCUCCGGAGGCGCCCCUUCCUUUCCCCCGCCCGGGCAGUGACUUCCCCGCUGACGAACGGCGCCCGGGAGCCUGCCGGCAGCGUUCCGAGCAGCCGCUUGUCUCCCAAGAGAAAUGAGAGGGACAGAAGGUGGAUCAAGAGAAGCAAAGUAUAAUCAGAGGAGGCCAUGACCUUAUAGAAGCAGAAAGGAGUUAUGUGGAGGGAAUGAGACAAAUACAAAUAUUUAUCCACAUCAAUAUAUUCAUAUCUAAUUAAGAUGCUCCUGCACCAGGACAGCUGUUUGCAUUGCAUCGACAGCAGCCAAGCCCAUCCCAGUUCUGCUAUUUCAUAGCAGAAAUCUGCAUCCCCAAUGCCAGACAGAAAGAGCAGAGACAUUAUAGGAUCCCGGCUGCAGGCCUGUGGGGAAGCAUGAAGGUUACUCUUCAGUCCUUGAUUCCUUUUUUUCUGUCCAGUUUUGUGAUUUUUCCCUCUGAGACACCAUUCACUCCAGUAUGUCAUGCGAAGGACCAUUAUUACACCAGAAGAAAGGGAAGCAACUUCAGCCUUAUGCCAGAGAAAACUAACCCCUAAUCACAUGUAUACAGCUAAUAACCUCUACUCCCAACCCCAUAUGCUUCUACUCAGCAAGAAAAGAUUUUCAUAAACCCCCAAAGUCAUACUCCACAAACAUCUACCAGCUACUACUGUAACUACCAAUACUGACCUGGAUGUCCCAGGGAAAGGGUUUCAGGGAAAGGGGUAUGUAGGUGGUGGUGGAGGCCUUGGCAUGCAAGUGGGCCAAGUCAGGGGGAGAAUAGAGACCAAAUUAGCCCAUAUUCUACCUUCUACAGCAGGUCUUCUCCAUCUCAGAGCCACUAGUGCCUUCCUUUUUGAGAUCACCUUCCACUGCCUCUGAAUAUAUCUUGAAUUGUACCUAAUUAUUUACAGGUUGUUUCUUCCAUUGCAAUCUUCCUUGAGAGCAAGUACAGAUUGGAGUUUUCUUUUGUUGUGAUUUGUUUGCUUAUUUAUAGAAAUUUAAUAACUAUUUAUUUAUUA
RNAcentral lists this long non-coding RNA (1492 nucleotides) under Sarcophilus harrisii (Tasmanian devil). RNAcentral's name for it is "lncRNA (ENSSHAG00000022223.1)". Lineage: Eukaryota; Metazoa; Chordata; Mammalia; Dasyuromorphia; Dasyuridae. The record is from RNAcentral.